This 318-nucleotide ribosomal RNA is filed under the name uncultured bacterium. Its description in RNAcentral is "bacterial SSU rRNA". It matches the Rfam family "Bacterial small subunit ribosomal RNA", at positions 29 to 334 of the family's 1533-position model. The record is from RNAcentral.
AACGAACGCUGGAGGCAUGCCUAAUACAUGCAAGUCGAACGAGAAAGCUCUUCGGAGUGAGUAGAGUGGCGCACGGGUGCGUAACACGUAGGUGAUCUGCCUAGUAGAGGGGGACAACAGGGAGAAAUUCCUGCUAAUACCGCAUGAGAUCGUUAACUUUGGAAGGAAACGAUGAAAGGUGACCUCUGAUUUAAGUCAUCACUACUAGAGGAGCCUGCGGAGCAUUAGCUUGUUGGUGGGGUAAUGGCCUACCAAGGCGAUGAUGCUUAGCUGGUCUGAGAGGAUGAUCAGCCACACUGGGACUGAGACACGGCCCAG